CAGUUAAGUUGAUUUCUUCGGAUUGAUUCUUGACUGACUGAGCGGCGGACGGGUGAGUAACGCGUGGGUGACCUGCCCCAUACCGGGGGAUAACAGUUGGAAACGACUGCUAAUACCGCAUAAGCGCACAGGAUCGCAUGGUCCGGUGCGAAAAACUCCGGUGGUAUGGGAUGGGCCCGCGUCUGAUUAGGCAGUUGGCGGGGUAACGGCCCACCAAACCGACGAUCAGUAGCCGGCCUGAGAGGGCGACCGGCCACAUUGGGACUGAGACACGGCCCAAACUCC
This 285-nucleotide ribosomal RNA is filed under the name uncultured Lachnospiraceae bacterium. Its description in RNAcentral is "partial 16S ribosomal RNA". It matches the Rfam family "Bacterial small subunit ribosomal RNA", at positions 59 to 339 of the family's 1533-position model. Lineage: Bacteria; Bacillati; Bacillota; Clostridia; Lachnospirales; Lachnospiraceae. The record is from RNAcentral.